RNAcentral lists this transfer RNA (77 nucleotides) under Desulfovibrio desulfuricans. RNAcentral describes it as "tRNA-Pro". It matches the Rfam family "tRNA". From Rfam's summary of the family: Transfer RNA (tRNA) molecules are approximately 80 nucleotides in length. The record is from RNAcentral. Lineage: Bacteria; Pseudomonadati; Thermodesulfobacteriota; Desulfovibrionia; Desulfovibrionales; Desulfovibrionaceae. RNAcentral also lists the same sequence under 1 other name.
CGGAGCGUGGCGCAGUCUGGUAGCGCACCUGCUUUGGGAGCAGGGGGUCGCCAGUUCGAAUCUGGCCGCUCCGACCA